ACGGAGGGUCCGAGCGUUAUCCGGAAUUAUUGGGUUUAAAGGGUCCGUAGGCGGGCCAUUAAGUCAGGGGUGAAAGUCUGCGGCUCAACCGUAGAAUUGCCUUUGAUACUGGUGGUCUUGAGUUAUGGUGAAGUGGCUGGAAUAUGUAGUGUAGCGGUGAAAUGCAUAGAUAUUACAUAGAACACCGAUUGCGAAGGCAGGUCACUAACCAUAUACUGACGCUGAUGGACGAAAGCGUGGGGAGCGAACAGG
This 252-nucleotide ribosomal RNA is filed under the name uncultured bacterium. RNAcentral's name for it is "partial 16S ribosomal RNA". It matches the Rfam family "Bacterial small subunit ribosomal RNA", at positions 525 to 776 of the family's 1533-position model. The record is from RNAcentral.